AAACUCUUAUUUUGUGUUGUGAAAAGGAUACUUUGUGAUUUUGUGUAUUGUACUAAUACAAUUGAAAAUAUGCUGAAAUGUUUGAAAAAAGUGCACUUUUGAUGAUCUGUUGUGAUAUUAGUACUAAGAGUUUUGAAAAUGUACCAAUUGCUUGUGAAAAUUGCACCAAAGCAAUUAAAAAAACUGUAAAUUAGAUUUAAGAAUAAUAAGAAAACUAACGGAUACAAUAAGGGCUAGGCCCCUAAUAAUAAAAUAAGAAAUAUAUAUUCAAUAUAUAUUCAUUCAUAUUUGUUUGCUUUCUUUCUAGAAAUAUGUAGGUCCAGAACUAUCCAACACAGUCAUCCCCCCUAAUCUCAUUUGUCCUCUGUCAAAAAAGUUGUUUGUCGAUCCAGUGAAAACCAAUGCAGGUAUGGUGUAUGAACACCGUGCUAUUGAGGAUUAUCUCAAGAGGCAUGGAACUAAGGAUCCACUGACAAAUAAGCUGUUACGAAGAACAGACUUAAAGCGAGACAUGAAUAUGAGAAAGGCUGCCAGGGAAUAUCGCAUGUCACAGAUUCAAGAAACAUCCGUUUAAGAUGGUUCCAUUUGCUUUCAGGUGUACCAAAUUAUGAUAAAUUUGCAAAUUAUGCAAGCAAUAUAUGUUGUUUUUUUUCCGUAAUGGGACCUUUGAUCCCAGGCUUUCUCAAUGUAAGGCUUACAUUAUGUUUACUUUAGACUGUCAGAGUUAAACCAUGAGAGACAUAUUUUAACGAUGUCUGUAAUUCAAAAUGUUGAUUUCAGUUUGAAGUUGGUUUUAGAUGAUUAAACUUGUUGAUAUGAAUACACAAGGGGCCAGAUUUACUAACAGCUUGCGUCAGCGCAAACCCUCUUUUGGGGUUAAAAAACUACUAUCAGGAUUUACUAAAGACAUGCAGUAAAAAAAAAAAAAAAAAAAGCGCUGAAAAGGCGUGGACAGUUAUUUUUGCGGCUGACCUAAUUGCAUAUGCAUUUGUAGGAGUUUCCCUUUCAGACACAAAAUUUAUGGGAGGAGAUUAAUUAAAUUAAUCAUGAGACGUGGUUUACUAAGGUUUGCGCUCGUCAAUUUACUGGUGUUACUGCCAUUAUUUACCACCCAAAAAAGCACUUCUUAAACCAGACGCUAACUGGUAGAUUGCAUUGGUCGUAAUGAAAACGAUCCAGCUGCGUCUGCAAUCUUUAAUGUGCACGUCGUCAGUAGAUCAUGCGCAGAGAUUUCCACUCCCAUCUGUGCUUUUUUGGAAUUGCGCUUUCACGCUAAUUUGCCCAGUUUAGUAAAUCUGGCCCAAGUAAUGUUAAAACUAUCUGUACUUUUUUGUCUCUUCUUAUAUGUGUAACAUUUAGUGAACAUCAGCAUCAUCAACUGCAAACGUAAAAGUGCAAGUGUCAAGCAGUGAUUGGACAGACCUAAUAAUUAUGUAUGAAUAACGUGGCAUUAAGAGUCUUCCAAGACAAAAGUUCAAAUUUCUAUAACCAAUAGGUUGUAUAUAGCUAUAUUUUAACAAACUAAAAUUAUAAUAAUGCCUUGUUUCCAAACUUUGAGAAAAUACUGAUAGAUUAUAGAUUUAAGCUUGUGACCUGUUCUAUUUUGUUAACAUUUUGUGUGUCUAAUAAAAGUACACUUGAACAUA
Ctenopharyngodon idella (grass carp) is the source of this 1646-nucleotide long non-coding RNA. RefSeq lists it as uncharacterized. Lineage: Eukaryota; Metazoa; Chordata; Actinopteri; Cypriniformes; Xenocyprididae. The record is from RefSeq and is a predicted model, not a curated record. The transcript has 2 exons.